Molecule: ribosomal RNA, 207 nt
Filed under: Escherichia coli
Lineage: Bacteria; Pseudomonadati; Pseudomonadota; Gammaproteobacteria; Enterobacterales; Enterobacteriaceae
Description: partial 16S ribosomal RNA
Rfam family: Bacterial small subunit ribosomal RNA
Source: RNAcentral
AAAUUGAAGAGUUUGAUCAUGGCUCAGAUUGAACGCUGGCGGCAGGCCUAACACAUGCAAGUCGAACGGUAACAGGAAACAGCUUGCUAUUUCGCUGACGAGUGGCGGACGGGUGAGUAAUGUCUGGGAAACUGCCUGAUGGAGGGGGAUAACUACUGGAAACGGUAGCUAAUACCGCAUAACGUCGCAAGACCAAAGAGGGGGACC